UGAGCAACCUGCCCUUGACUCUGGAAUAACAGCUGGAAACAGCUGCUAAUACCGGAUACGACCUCCGAUGGCAUCAUCUGGAGGUGGAAAGCUCCGACGGUCAAGGAUGGGCUCGCGGCCUAUCAGCUUGUUGGUGAGGUAACGGCUCACCAAGGCUUCGACGGGUAGCCGGCCUGAGAGGGCGACCGGCCACACGUGGGACUGAGACACGGCCCAGACCUNUACGGGA
This 229-nucleotide ribosomal RNA is filed under the name uncultured bacterium. Its description in RNAcentral is "partial 16S ribosomal RNA". It matches the Rfam family "Bacterial small subunit ribosomal RNA", at positions 118 to 346 of the family's 1533-position model. The record is from RNAcentral.